GACGAACGCUGGCGGCGUGCUUAACACAUGCAAGUCGAGCGGUAAGGCCUUUCGGGGUACACGAGCGGCGAACGGGUGAGUAACACGUGGGUGAUCUGCCCUGCACUUCGGGAUAAGCCUGGGAAACUGGGUCUAAUACCGGAUAUGACCUCCUAUCGCAUGGUGGGUGGUGGAAAGAUUUAUCGGUGCAGGAUGGGCCCGCGGCCUAUCAGCUUGUUGGUGGGGUAAUGGCCUACCAAGGCGACGACGGGUAGCCGACCUGAGAGGGUGACCGGCCACACUGGGACUGAGGAACGGCCCAGACUCCUACGGGAGGCAGCAGUGGGGAAUAUUGCACAAUGGGCGAAAGCCUGAUGCAGCGACGCCGCGUGGGGGAUGACGGCCUUCGGGUUGUAAACCUCUUUCAGCAGGGACGAAGCGCAAGUGACGGUACCUGCAGAAGAAGCACCGGCUAACUACGU
Molecule: ribosomal RNA, 461 nt
Filed under: uncultured bacterium
Lineage: Bacteria
Description: partial 16S ribosomal RNA
Rfam family: Bacterial small subunit ribosomal RNA
Source: RNAcentral